Molecule: long non-coding RNA, 1224 nt
Filed under: Canis lupus familiaris (dog)
Lineage: Eukaryota; Metazoa; Chordata; Mammalia; Carnivora; Canidae
Description: lncRNA (ENSCAFG00845012709.1)
Source: RNAcentral
AUGUGGGGCCGCGUCCACGCUGACAGGAGCCCCGGCCUCCUCAGGACCUGCGGUGAGACUUCAGGAAGAUGUGGGGCCGCAUCCUCGCUGACAGGAGCCCCGGCCUCCUCAGGACCCGCGGUGAGUUUUCGGGAUGACGUGGGGCCGCGUCCGCGGGGACAGGACCCCCGGCCUCCUCAGGACCCGCGGGGAGUUUUCGGGAUGACGUGGGGCCGCGUCCACGCUGACAGGAGCCCCGGCCUCCUCAGGACCCGCGGGCAGGGCUCAUGCAGCAGCACAUCACGGACAAAUGUCCCCAAGCCCCCUGGGAACACUGGUCCUCCCACCGCAUCCCCUCCGUCCUUGCCCCAAUCUCUGCUCCUGUUUUUUCUCCCCUCACCCACAGCCUGAAGCCGGACCCUGUCUACCUGCACCCUGCCCUCCCCUUCCCACACACCCGGGAGCUCCCUGAUUCCCAGAGCCACCUCCUCCCUGCAGGACCUUCGCCAUCUUUCCACAAAUGGGUCUCUUGGGCCUCACUUAGCUUCUCCAACUCUAUCUCCUGAGCUUUCUCCCUUCAAUACACAACUGUUCCAGGCAGUCCUGGUGGACUUGGAGCCUCUGUCCAGUGACCUCGGGGGUGCACACCUCCUGGCUCAGCCAGCCUCAGUUCAAGGAUACUGGAUACAUAUUAGGAUCCCCUGGGACCUUGUAUAAAUCCUGAGGUCCAGACCACACCCCAGUCAAGGACUACAGAAUCUCGGGGGUGGGAUCCAGGCACAGGUGGCUUUCAGAGCUCCCCCGGUGACUCCUCCAGGCAGCUGGGGGGACAACCAGUCUGUCCAUGCCCUCCCUCGUUCACCAUGUCCACCAGCAAAACCAAGGCUCCCUGUGUCCCAGGAGGUCCUGGGCAGCUGACUGGGUACAGGUGAGGGGCACCGGGGAGCAACAAUCUGGGUUGGGGAGCAGAGGGAGAACGUGAAAUGGGGCCCGCAGGGCGAGGAUGGACGCCUGCUACAGCCCUGGCGUGAGCUCAAUUUCUACAGGCCUCUCGGGCUUGUCCCAAGGAGGGAAGGCAUGAGGGCUCACACAUGACACGACUGGGUAUCAGAGGGUGGGCAGGACACAGGCCUCCCGGCACGUGGUCUCUGGGGCGAAGGGUCGGCAGGAAACUGCUGGAUCCAGGCCCAUCGGAUUGAAGCUCCGCCUGCGGCGGCUGGGGCCCAGAAAGGGCUGACACCGGCC